UACUAGAUAGAACACACUGAUAUGCAACAU
RNAcentral lists this non-coding RNA (30 nucleotides) under Cricetulus griseus (Chinese hamster). The record is from RNAcentral. Lineage: Eukaryota; Metazoa; Chordata; Mammalia; Rodentia; Cricetidae.